RNAcentral lists this ribosomal RNA (500 nucleotides) under uncultured bacterium. RNAcentral's name for it is "bacterial SSU rRNA". It matches the Rfam family "Bacterial small subunit ribosomal RNA", at positions 9 to 497 of the family's 1533-position model. The record is from RNAcentral.
GGAGUUUGAGCCUGGAUCAAAUUGAACGCUGGCGGCAGGCCUAACACAUGCAAGUCGGGGGGUAACAGGGAGAAGCUUGCUUCUCUGCUGACGAGCGGCGGACGGGUGAGUAAUGUAUGGGGAUCUGCCUGAUGGAGGGGGAUAACUACUGGAAACGGUAGCUAAUACCGCAUAAGGGCUCCGGACCAAAGCGGGGGACCUUCGGGCCUCGCACCAUCAGAUGAACCCAUAUGGGAUUAGCUAGUGGGUGAGGUAAUGGCUCACCUACGCGACGAUCUCUAGCUGGUCUGAGAGGAUGAUCAGCCACACUGGGACUGAGACACGGCCCAGACUCCUACGGGAGGCAGCAGUGGGGAAUAUUGCACAGUGUGCGGAAGCCUGAUGCACCCAUGCCCCGUGUAUGAAGAAGGCCUUAGGGUUGUAAAGUACUUUCAGUCGGGAGGAAGGUGUUGAGUUUAAUAUACUCAGCAAUUGACGUUACCGACAGAAGAAGCACCGGC